UACGGAGGGUGCAAGCGUUAUCCGGAUUUACUGGGUUUAAAGGGUGCGUAGGUGGAUUGGUAAGUCAGUGGUGAAAUACUUUCGCUUAACGAAGGAACUGCCAUUGAUACUAUCAAUCUUGAAUGUAGUGGAGGUAGGCGGAAUGCGUCAUGUAGCGGUGAAAUGCUUAGAUAUGACGCAGAACACCAAUUGCGAAGGCAGCUUGCAUCACUACUAUUGACACUGAGGCACGAAAGCGUGGGGACAAACAGG
RNAcentral lists this ribosomal RNA (252 nucleotides) under uncultured bacterium. RNAcentral's name for it is "partial 16S ribosomal RNA". It matches the Rfam family "Bacterial small subunit ribosomal RNA", at positions 524 to 776 of the family's 1533-position model. The record is from RNAcentral.